Molecule: long non-coding RNA, 537 nt
Organism: Daucus carota subsp. sativus
Lineage: Eukaryota; Viridiplantae; Streptophyta; Magnoliopsida; Apiales; Apiaceae
Exons: 3
Source: RefSeq, a predicted model, not a curated record
UAUCAAUAUUUAUUAGCAUAUGCACUAUCCUGAUAUAGCAUGCAGGUUUUUAUAAUUAUUUUGCUUGCUCAAUAGUUUAAAGCUCUUGCAGAUCAGUUGUUCCAUAAUCCAGAAUAUCACAAAUAUGUAAGGAAGCAGGUCGUCAAACAGAAAUUUAUAUGAAGGCUACAUUCCGAUGAAGUACAGAAGUUAUUUGAAGACAAUGGAGAGGUUCAAGUGAUUGGACUUUUGUGUAGAACUCGUCAGAAAAAUAUCAGAAGUGAGUUACUUAGAAUGAGUUGCUGCAUGUGGUGGGUGCAUUUAAAAGGCCUGGAUGUGACAAAAGUUAAUCUUCGAGGAGCAAACCUCAACGACAUAGAUUUGAUUAUGUACUUUACACGCUUUACAGGCUUUGAUUAUGUACUUGAUAUUUAUAUUAGAUGAAUGUGUAGUAGUUGAUCGAUAUUUGAUUUGAUGGAUGUGUAGUCGGUGAGAUUGGAAUUGAUGGAUGUAUAGAGUACAAUUGAUUUAUAUAUGCAUUAAUAAGAUUUAGGUGUU